This is a transfer RNA of Loxodonta africana (African savanna elephant), 71 nucleotides long. It matches the Rfam family "tRNA". From Rfam's summary of the family: Transfer RNA (tRNA) molecules are approximately 80 nucleotides in length. Their secondary structure includes four short double-helical elements and three loops (D, anti-codon, and T loops). The record is from Rfam. Lineage: Eukaryota; Metazoa; Chordata; Mammalia; Proboscidea; Elephantidae.
GCAUUGGUGGUUCAGUGGUAGAAUUCUUGCCUUCCAGGUGGGAGACCCAGGUUCAAUUCCCAGCCAAUGCA